UACGUAGGGUGCGAGCGUUUGUCCGGAAUUAUUGGGCGUAAAGAGCUCGUAGGCGGUUUGUCGCGUCUGCUGUGAAAACCCGAGGCUCAACCUCGGGCCUGCAGUGGGUACGGGCAGACUAGAGUGCGGUAGGGGAGAUUGGAAUUCCUGGUGUAGCGGUGAAAUGCGCAGAUAUCAGGAGGAACACCGAUGGCGAAGGCAGGUCUCUGGGCAUUAACUGACGCUGAGGAGCGAAAGCAUGGGGGAGCGAACAGG
This 255-nucleotide ribosomal RNA is filed under the name uncultured bacterium. RNAcentral's name for it is "partial 16S ribosomal RNA". It matches the Rfam family "Bacterial small subunit ribosomal RNA", at positions 524 to 776 of the family's 1533-position model. The record is from RNAcentral.